AUUGAACGCUAGCGGGAUGCCUUACACAUGCAAGUCGAACGAGUGGCGGACGGGUGAGUAAUAUCUCGGAACGUGCCCAGUAGAGGGGGAUAACUACUGGAAACGGUAGCUAAUACCGCAUACUAUCGGAUGUGCCCAUAUGGGAUUAGCUAGUUGGUGGGGUAAAGGCUCACCAAGGCAACGAUCCGUAGCUGGUCUGAGAGGACGACCAGCCACACUGGAACUGAGACACGGCCCAGACUCCUACGGGAGGCAGCAGUGGGGAAUAUUGGACAAUGGGGGAAACCCUGAUCCAGCCAUCCCGCGUGUAUGAAGAAGGCCUUCGGGUUGUAAAGUACUUUUGGCAGGGAGGCGUUACCCGCAGAAUAAGCACCGGCUAACUACGUGCCAGCAGCCGCGGUAAUUC
This 406-nucleotide ribosomal RNA is filed under the name uncultured bacterium. Its description in RNAcentral is "partial 16S ribosomal RNA". It matches the Rfam family "Bacterial small subunit ribosomal RNA", at positions 30 to 526 of the family's 1533-position model. The record is from RNAcentral.